UAUCUCUCCGUACGGGGAAGGAUGAGAAGCUUCGACUAAGGUUCGAUUCGAGCGCAGCGAGAAAGCGUUGCCGUAGGCAACGACCCG
Molecule: small RNA, 87 nt
Filed under: Salmonella enterica
Lineage: Bacteria; Pseudomonadati; Pseudomonadota; Gammaproteobacteria; Enterobacterales; Enterobacteriaceae
Also listed under: 3 other names
Description: partial RtT sRNA
Rfam family: RtT RNA
About the family: This family represents a bacterial cis-regulatory element known as RtT RNA. The exact function of RtT is unknown although it is thought that it may be involved in changing the cellular response in relation to amino acid starvation.
Source: RNAcentral